AAAUUUAUCUUCAGACCAGCGACCGCGCCAGCCGCGAAUCGGAUCUCUAUGGAGAUGGCCUAGGCGAUAUCCCUGAGCUGAGAGCAUCACCCUAUCCCCGAAUCCUUCUUUCCUCUCUGUUUUUUCAUUCCCCUCCCUCUCUCCCCUCCCCCUCCAGUCCACGACGACUGGCUGUUGACCCUGUUCAGGCCUCGGUGAAGGCUUUUGGGUAAUCCCCUUCCCACCCCAUCCCUUAAUUUUAUUCUUUUGAAGAGUGCAUUUCAAGCUGCCAAGGUGGAGAGAGGGAUUACAGAAAGGAGAACACCUUAUUUCAGGUCCUGGUUAAGUCUUCACCUGUUGUGUAAAUAGAAUGCAGAGUAAUCUGUAAAAAUAUACAUUACUUUCAUUGAGUCUUAAUUUGGAGAAUAUAAACAUUUAUAUAAUUUAAGUCCAGAGAAACAGUACCUAACUUUUGAUAUACAAUUUAUUCUUCAUUGUUAACACAUAGCAUUUAGGAUACAGUAGAAUUAUGUAUCUCACAAAACUUGGAACUGUGUGUGU
Molecule: small RNA, 540 nt
Filed under: Pongo abelii (Sumatran orangutan)
Lineage: Eukaryota; Metazoa; Chordata; Mammalia; Primates; Hominidae
Description: processed transcript
Source: RNAcentral